RNAcentral lists this ribosomal RNA (253 nucleotides) under uncultured bacterium. Its description in RNAcentral is "partial 16S ribosomal RNA". It matches the Rfam family "Bacterial small subunit ribosomal RNA", at positions 524 to 776 of the family's 1533-position model. The record is from RNAcentral.
UACGAAGGGGGCUAGCGUUGCUCGGAAUUACCGGGCGUAAAGCGCACGUAGGCGGCUUUCUAAGUCGGGGGUGAAAUCCUGGAGCUCAACUCCAGAACUGCCUUCGAUACUGGAAAGCUCGAGUCCGGGAGAGGUGAGUGGAACUGCGAGUGUAGGGGUGAAAUUCGUAGAUAUUCGCAAGAACACCAGUGGCGAAGGCGGCUCACUGGCCCGGUACUGACGCUGAGGUGCGAAAGCGUGGGGAGCAAACAGG